CCCCAAAAAAAAAAUUAUUCCAGGUAUGUUCCUCAAUAAAAAAAUCCAUUGUGGCUCAUUAAUCGCAUAGCAACCUCCAUCCCAUUCCUUCUUAGGAACUUCCGAUUUACCUACGCGAAGCUAAAUCAACUAAAUCGGAGCUCCGUUGUGGGAGACAAUAGAACAGCGUACAUCGGAGCACCAUUUUUCAUGGGGACGCCUUUGUAGUAAGAACAAUCGAAAAAAGGAAACAUGGUUGAAACAACACGCGGAUCUAGCCGCGGGAAACAGAAGAUCGACCAGACUCCAGGCAUGGUAUAUCUGAGUUCACGUAAAACAUGGGACCCUUAACCUGUGACUUUCAUUAUUUGAUAUGUUGGUGGUCGUAACGGUGUUUGACGGGCUGUAGAAAAUGAAGAGGGGCAGACUAGAAAGAGGCGUAACGAAAUAGAUUCUAGUGGUCUAUUUGAAUCCUUAAACGAUACCCAUAGUCGAAAGCGAGUUAUAGCCACACAAACUUCGACGAAUAAGCAUAGAGAGAUUUUGAACAUUUCUGAUGGGUCUACGGGGCACGAAAAGAAACGAAAGGUGGUGAAACGAAAGGAAAUACCCAGCCUAAAGACGCGUUCCUCGCCGAAACAACUAUACAACUCGAUAUCAUACAUGUCGCAAAGGUAGGAGGAAGCUGUGAAGGAAAUGGGUUUCGUGGGCUGUUAGGAUUUGUCAUCGACGGAAUUCCAGAAAAACUAGCCUUUCAUGUUGUCGAACAACUUGAUGCUGAAAAUUUGACAUUGAAUCUUGGAAAAGCCCAACUGGUAGUGACGUCAACUUUGAUCAGCAAACUGUUGGGGAUCCGUGAAGGAGGUAAGAACUUUGGCGCGAUUCUACCAUCCAAGACGUUGUACCCCCCCCCCCCCCACCAGCUUUUACAUAUCCCCCACUUUGUUAUCCACGAAAAUCCAACAAGACACUUACAAUGAUAUGAUGUUUUUCCGCAUUGAUUUCGUGUUGCUCUUCCUUACCACAAUAGCUACAUCACAGAUGAAUAGGUUUGUGAAUGACAAAAUUUUAAAGCGUUUAACGAUUGAUACACGGUUCGAGGAGUACGACUGGUGUGCUUACAUCGUGGAUUGUUGACGUAAAUGCAAGAAGUAGUGGAAACCAAAAGACUCAAACAGUUGUUGGGUUGGCCUGCUGACUAUCUUGACGGUACGUUAUAAAAUUUGUUUGUGAUUUGGGAAAAGGAUCCCCGUCCCGUGGUUAAAAACAUACUUCUGGGUGUAGUUGUUGUAUGUCGACAGCACAGAGCUGGCCGAGUUAAGCACGAGGGCUUGCGUUCAGGCCAUUCAGUUCUAGACUAGAGACAUGUUGACACGUCGACAAGAUUACGAGAUCAAUAAUGGUGGGUUUGGGCAAGGCAACUUGAAAGCGAUAAGUGUUGGUGCAGAUGAAGCAGGCGGUGAUUUAGAUGAUGAGACAUUUGCGAACACGCAGGAGUUUGUUGCAUGUGUUGAGAAGUGGCUUGAUGGGUUCGCGGCAGUUCGGGUUAAGAUAGAAACGCACUUAGGUGCGCAUUUGGCGGAGGACCCAAACAACAAGAGCCUCCAGGAUCUAAAUCGUAGGUACAUUAAUGUGCUGGAUGAGGUUCCAAUUUGGCCUACUGAUAGAUUUGACAACUUUGAAGAGGGAGAAAGCGGGCAUCAAUGAACGCCCACCGCACACCGGACGUAAGCACAGAGGCAACUACUUCUAAGAGCAUAGCACAGAUACUAAAUGAGUUGAAUGAAUAUUCUGUUGAGAAGACAUACACGCACAAAAAGAAGAAAUUGUGCAGACGACUAAGUGGUGGCCCGUUUUUUUUAAAUCCUACUUAUUAUCCUCAGCCCUCGUAGAUCCUUAACCUGAAGUUUUAUUGUUAACCUUAAAUCGUGCCCAGGCAUGAAGGGGGAUGAGAGUAUGAAAAGUCUGGAAGCAGCUACAGGGCAUAGUGACGAUGGAGACGCGGGUGAUUUAGGUGCAUGUACACCUAUUGCUCCACGUGUGGAAUCCAAUUCUGAUGUCCCUUUGAGCCAGGCCACGGAUAACAUCUGUACACCGAACGUGCAGGUGAAUAUGGGCAAUUUUAAUGAACUAGUGGGGAUUGAGGUGCAGGAUGACGUACGUCGAGACAGUACAGUUGAAAACAUGGAUUUGGGAUUGAGGGAUGCUUCGGAUGCGCCAUCUACAUUGGACCAAGGUACGCGUACGAUGAAAAAAAUAAGGGGGCGUGAUGAUUUACAGCAAGGCGUUCUGAGUUCAAAAAACGACACGUCACCCAUUGUGCAGGGUAAUGAUGCGAACGAAGAGCUUUAAAAUACAGAGGGUGGGAGGUGUGAACUGUUGGGCAAUGAAAGUUCACAGCUGGUGGUGUCGCCAAGUUCGGGGUUAGAGAUAUUGCCUUGCGUUUUGUGCGCACUGUACGCCCCAAGUCGGGGUCCACCCGCAGGUCUCCCGUCGUUGAUCGCAUCUCCAUCUGUCGGUCCCAUGGUACGCUGGACAAAAAGUUUGAUUGCUGCUAAGGGAGCAGAGCUUGAGAGGACAUGUCGGACAAUACGGGACGCAGUUUCUAUGGGGGCUCGAUCAAGUCAACGACUACUUUAUAUAUUUUUUUUACUCUUUUUUAAUUUUUUAUAAAUACUUUUGAAACAAAGACCGACUUACAAGUACCCAGCCCUGAUGUGGAAAUGUGUGGGCGUAGGGUAAGCAAAUGACGAGCGUGCGGUUAAAAGUGGUUGUUCCAUCAGACACAUGUUGGGUGGAUCAACAGUUGGUUUGGGCAAUGAAAAAAAAGUAGCCGUGGAUGACGUGUAGAGCCCAGGCAAGCUUCAAUUUAAGCAUUGCUCAGGACAUGGUGGGUGACGAAGAACAAGAAGGGAUAAAAUCUGAUGAAACGAUAGUUGAUAUAUGCAAAGACGUAGGUGGUUCUGGGGGACAUGAACAGCCAAGUAGCCCCGCUGGGCCCUCAUCGAGCCAGGCAAGUUUCGGAGACUGGAUACCUGGUGUCAGUGCGGAUCACAAAGAGCCUUCCGAUGGGGAUGCUGAAUUAGACGGUGAAAUGGGUACAGGAUGAAAAGCGGCGUGUAUUGAACCGCACCCCGUAGAAGCGAUUCUGGCAAAACCAGUUUGCAAUUUUCAUGAAAAACCCCACGGAGAAGCCAGGCUAGGGGACAUCAGCUUAGAACCAAAAGAUUUGACACAACGUGAGAAGAAAGUGGGCAUUUGUUUUUCGCAAGAGGGGUAUGGAGGCGUGGAAAAAACAAAGAAUACUAGAACUACAACCCAGCAAAUGUCCCAGCGGCGGAUGCAACACAAGAGUUCCCGUAUGUGAUGUUUGAGGAGCAGUAUGGGAGUCGUGCGAAGGCAGACAAGCUUCAGACGUUUGCAAUUGGUUGCGACGUGUCACCGGCGGUGGUUGAGUUCAUGUCCUGAACAAUGAUCCAACCUAUCGCGAUCCCACUUUACCCCGAUGUUUGUUUUGUCUGCACUGAACAGUGGUAAUGGGUCUUCCAUUUACCUUUACUCACCAUUUGAUUUAAAAAAAAUAGAAUAAGACGCACCUUGGGAUGCUGACGCAAAAUAUGUUCUACACAAGUUGACUAGAUGUUGGCUCUAAAUAACGACCCUUGUGGUAGUCAACUUUGUCCUUUUGAGUCGGGUUUGAAAAGCAGCCUUUGUGGCCGGGAAGAACUACUAGAUUUGAAAGAGAUUGAUAUGUUGUUCUUGCCAUUAGUAGAGGGAAAGCACUUCUAUCUGGUUGUGUUUGAUUUGUACAGAUACGACAUAUACCUCAUAGACCACAUGGCGGACGGGGAGUCUGAUGUGUCUCUCAGAGACCAUGAUGAAUACGUUUGCAAAACGACACCGUUUAGAGUGAAACAUAUACUUGUUGCAUAUUUAGAGCUGGUGAAACACCCAAAAGCAGCCAUUAUGUGUUCAACAGUAAUCAGGCGAGAAUCAUUGGCUUGGACGCUGACCCGUAGGGGUGCAUCGCCGAAUGUUGAUUCUGCCAUUUUCACGAUGAGGUAUAUGGAGCGAUUCCUAGGGACUCGGUGUAAUUUCUUCUGCGGUUUUAGCUCGCACGGAUCACGCAAGAAGGCUCAGUGCAAUUACUUGUGUAAGAAAUAUGCAAGCCAGAUACUACUGUCUGCAGUGAACAAAUAUCAUGGGGGCGUGAGGCAUCGCAUUGAUAGAAAAUAGGUAGAUGCAGGGGGGUGAAUAUUGGGAGAGUUUAACAUGAAGUGGCAUCCCCGUCUCUCUGAAAGCGCAAAAGAAACCUCCAAAAAAGACAGAAACAAACCGAAAAUGGCGGAUGGUUGCAAGGUCUGGCAUCCACAUAACACUACAUCUUCAUCAGGUGGAUCAGAAGACAAAUCUGUCGGGAAACAGGUGAUGUGCGCGAGUGAUCCUAGUCCACCGCAGCAGACUAUGGAAAGGAAAAAAACACAAGUGUGGGAUAAUCGCCAACUAGGGCUACAAUCAAACCCAGACACGGUGUGGGUCCUCGUUCAUCAUGACAUGGGGGAGGUUGGCGUCCAAGUGUUAGAUCGUUGCCAUCUAGGGGCAAUCAAACACAGGCUCGGUUUGGUACCCCUCUCAGCCGACAGGCUCACCUACUGGCCACUUUGGUUCUCCACCCGCCAACUUUGGUUCCCCCAGGUCCCACUUUGUUUCCUCCACAAUGCAGUUUGGUUCAUCUGCACCCCUGUUUGGUUCCUUUCCAAGUCAGUUUGGUUCUCCCCUACUAGCUUUAGAAAAGAUGAUAAAGGAUAUCUAGGUUAAGUUAAGCUCUAAGUGUGAAAUUUGUAGAGAGUGGCACGAGAUGAUAGAUGGCCUUGUAGGUGCUGAAGUGGAUAUGAGUUAUGUCCAGAAUGCAAAUGUAGGUCGGGGCUACGGCUACAACUCUGGAUGGCAGCCACGCUAGAACCCGAACUGGAAGAGUGGGAAUCCUCCUGGAUUUCAACCCCGCCAGAGUUUCUUCCAGAACUCUGGUGACGAGCCGAGUUGUGGAACGAGUAGAGGUGAGGUCAAGCCUAAUAUUGCUAAGUUCUUGAAGAAGAACGAGGAGAACCAGAAUAGGACAAACAAAUUGCUAGAAUCCUUAGUUCUUUAGGGGAGAAUAGGUACCAGGAGCAGCAACGUAAAAAUCAGGAAUUCGAGAUGAUUUUCAGGAAUCAAAAUGCCACUAUCCAGAACUUAGAGAGGACUGUAGGACAGAUGGCCACUAGAUACUCUGAGAGACCCUUAGGCACAUUCCCUAGUACUACUCAAUUGAACCCGAAUGCUACUACUAAGGUAGUCACGACUAGGAGUGGUAGAGGUGCUAGAGUAGAGGAACCAGUGGUUGAUGAAGAGCCGGUAAAUGAGGAAAUUGAAAUGGAGGCUCAUCUUGGAAAAGUGCAAAAUCGGCUCAGCCCAGCAAGUACAGCACAACCAGAGAGCCCUCCUAAGGUUAAGGUAGUUCAGAGAGAGUUUGAUAGAUUACCAUACCCUGCUAGGCUUAAGACGCAAAAGAUGGAGAAAGAGUAUGGUCACUUCCUUGAUUUGUUCAAGCAACUCAAGGUAAAUCUCCCAUUUGUAGAAGCGCUACAACAUAUGCCUAAAUAUGCUAAGUUCUUGAAGGACCUCUUGUAUAACAAGAAGAAAUUGGAGGAGAUUUCGAUUGUGACUUUAGGAGAAGAGUGUUCUGUGGUGGUUCAGAAUAAACUACCUCAGAAAAUGAUAGAUCCGGGUAGUUUCACUAUCCCGUGUUUAUUUGGUAGUUCUUCUGUGAGCCACGUGUUGGCCAACUUGGGUGCUAGCAUCAAUCUAAUACCUUACUUAAUUUAUUCUAAGCUAGACCUUGGAGAGCUUGUUCUGACACGGAUGAGUAUUCAGUUAGUAAAUAGGUCGGUGAAGUAUCCUAGGGGGAUAGUGGAAAAUAUUCUGGUGAAGGUGAAGAAAGCUUGUGCUUGAAGAUUUAGCGUAACAGUUCAUAGGUUGUUCGGUUAGACUUCUCUAUUGAUUCGGUUUUUAGUUAAAGUUGAAUAUUAUAUACACUGUUUUCUGAAUCCGUUUACUUUUAUUUUAUUUGUGUCUCGAUUAUCA
Helianthus annuus (common sunflower) is the source of this 6102-nucleotide long non-coding RNA. RefSeq lists it as uncharacterized. The record is from RefSeq and is a predicted model, not a curated record. Lineage: Eukaryota; Viridiplantae; Streptophyta; Magnoliopsida; Asterales; Asteraceae. The transcript is spliced from 14 exons.